This 437-nucleotide ribosomal RNA is filed under the name uncultured bacterium. RNAcentral describes it as "bacterial SSU rRNA". It matches the Rfam family "Bacterial small subunit ribosomal RNA", at positions 354 to 796 of the family's 1533-position model. The record is from RNAcentral.
GUGGGGAAUUUUGGACAAUGGACGAAAGUCUGAUCCAGCGACGCCGCGUGGAGGAUGAAGGUUUUCGGAUCGUAAACUCCUUUUGCAGGGGGCGAAACCGGGCAACCGGUUGACAGUACUCUGCGAAUAAGCCACGGCUAACUACGUGCCAGCAGCCGCGGUAAUACGUAGGUGGCGAGCGUUACUCGGAAUUACUAGGCGUAAAGCGUGUGUAGGCGGGAGCUUAAGUUUGUCGUUAAAUUCCAGGGCUCAACCCUGGACUGUCGAUGAAUACUGGGCUUCUUGAGUGAGGUAGGGGAAAUUGGAAUUCCAGGUGUAGCGGUGAAAUGCGUAGAUAUCUGGAAGAACGCCAAAGGCGAAGGCAGAUUUCUGGGCCUUUACUGACGCUGAGACACGAAAGCUAGGGGAGCAAACAGGAUUAGAUACCCUGGUAGUCC